CGUUGUCAUCUGCACUGUGAUGAGCUGAGCCAGAGCAGAAAGUCACAUUGAUGGAUCUGGAAAGGCAGCCCUGAUGUGCAGCACAGAGGAAGCCCAGCCCAGAUUUCCAGGUGUGGCCCUGCUUGCUCAGGCUGGACAGAGGUGUAAUACAUGUAUAUAUCAUUUAUGACAGAGGUAGUAGCCAUGUUCUGCUGGAACAGAACAGUUCCAAAAUGAAGAGCUCAGUCCCACGCAGAAUACCAGCACAGCUUCUGCUUUCCAGCUCUGUCUCCAGGAAGUUUGAUAAAGGAUCUCAACCUGCAGUGGUUUCUCCACUGAUCUAUAAUUUUUUCAGGCACAAUUGAAUUUGAUUUUUGAAUUCCCCUGAAACAUCAGGCUCUGACUCUGACCUGGCAUCCCAAAAGGAGCUCAGUGAUUUUUGAUUAUCCCUUCCUGCAUGAACAGCACUGGAGCUGCUGUAUAAUUGUUUCUUGCAGUGGGGAUCUCUGUGCUGCUGCUGGGUUCCAGCCCUUUGUGUGGAAUGCCAUCCUCAGCAGUUCCCCAUGUGCCCAUUUUGUCACAGCUCCUUACAGCUCUCAGCCACCCCAGGGAGCUCCUGGAGAAGGGUGACAAUAACCUGAUGCAAGCCCACAGCAGCUGGAUUCCUGGCACUUCACUUGGCUUCUGAUUCUUUACACGUUCUUUCCUUGGGGAACUUUAUUUGCAUGAAAACACAGCACAAUAAUUUGACGACUGCUCACCCUCAUGAUGUGCAGAGAAACAAAGCAGCUCAACAGUGAGCUAAGCAAUCAGUUAUAUUUAAAUUUUUUUCUGAAAUCACACCUCUUUCACUUUCUUUCCUCUGCUGUGACUUACAAAGGUGACUUACAGUGCAGCUGGGUUAUGCAGUAAAAUGAGGAGCUCAGAGCUGCUAAAAAAAAAGGAUUAUUCUUCUGUGAGCUGGGGGAACAAAGCUCCCCAAUAAAGGUCCUGUUCUGCUGUGCCUUUGUGCAGCUCUCAGCACAGAUCCCACUGCUCCCAGUGCCCAUCCCAGCACUCCUCAGUGCCUAAUUCAGUCACCUCACCAAAAUAAGUGAUGUGGAGCAAAUGUGCUCAGCCCUCUGCCUUUCCUUGCAGACCAAAGGGAGAAUUGUGCAAAUUGUGUGUGGGAACGGAGGGGAGCAAGGACAGCAGGACAGCAGCUGAGGAUGGGCCCAUGCACGGGACAGACCUGGGGCUGACAGUGCUGUCCCUGUGAGUGAUGUCCCUGUGGCUGCUGUCCCUUGUCCCCUCUCAAAUAGGGACACUUGCUGGGAGAUGCUGCUGGCCCGAGAA
Molecule: long non-coding RNA, 1314 nt
Organism: Melospiza melodia melodia
Lineage: Eukaryota; Metazoa; Chordata; Aves; Passeriformes; Passerellidae
Exons: 3
Source: RefSeq, a predicted model, not a curated record